CCGGAGUCCCCGCGGCGGCGGCGGGGAGCCCCGCGCGGCUCCCGGGGACCGGGCGCUGCCACGAGGCCGGGACGCUGGACGCUGGGCUGCCAGCUCCUCGGAGGAGGACCACACCUGUGCCUGUUCCCGCUUUGGAGGAGAGAGAGAAGCUUGUGGUCCAUGAUGCUCCAAGAAUGAAUUUCCAAAUAUUUGCCAGUGGAGAAGGAGCAGAGGCUCAGACGAGAGUGAAGGCUCUUUCAGAGAAGUUGCCCGCUGCGGCGAUAAAUGGAAGUAUCGGGGGAAAGGAAGGAUCUACUUGACCCCAACAGAGAGAACUAGAACGAAGGAGGAGAAACUACAGAUGUCACAAAAGGGAGAUCCUUGUCAUAAACCGAGGAGAGGAGCAACUUUGGCACUUCUGUCCCCAGAGGUGUCAGGCAGAGGGUGGCAGCCACCUGCAGUUACUUCCUACUGGAGGGAGGGCUUCUCCUCACGAAGGGUGUUCAGAAUCUUCGAAAUGGAAAACUACACUAAAUGACUUCUAAAAUUAUUUCCGGUUCUGAGACUUGAUAAUCCUAUCAGAAUUUUAAGAAAAGGGAUUUUGAGAGCCCUCAAACUUUUCUCAAAAAUUUCGUGCAACUUUUGAACAAUAAGGAACACACACACACCUCCUUCCUGCCAUCACAGAUUUCGAUUUAUUUUAUUUUCCCUAUUGUAAUUAUUCCACUGACAUACAGUUUUCCUAUUUCUGCAUUUUCACGAUUACAUUAUAUUCCACUGGAUAAACAUAGUAUAAGGUAUUAUUCCCUUCCCAUGCUUAAUUAUUAUAAAGAGCCGUGCUCUAGAUAUUUUUGCAUACACAGCUUCUCUUUGCUCUCAAAAUAUUUUAUUAGAAUAAUUAGAACUGAUUUGGUUGCAAAUUACACAGCUCACUGGAGCAGCCUAAGUAAAAGGGGUUUUGUUGCUAAGCAUAUAGGACAAUCACAAAGUUACCGAGUGUGAGACACACGCAGGAACUGGAUCGUUGCCCACACUCCCCAUCCCCUCUCCCUGGUCUGCUGUUUUCUCUCGACUGCCUUUCUCUGCCUGCUCCUGGUUCCCUUAUAACUUUGGCUCACGCCGGGCUUCGACUUGCCUUGGAGGCAGAGGCCCCAGGUCUGCAUCACAAGAGCACAGAGCCAACCACUGUCUGACCAGAAUCGGUACGUCUUAUACGAGAUUCUUGAGCAAGAGUCUGAUUAGCCCAGCUCCCCUGGCCCUGCGAGCUGUUCUUUCCUCCAGGUGGGGGGCCGGGCUCUGGAGUCUGCAUAGUUCGAAUUGAACUCUUCCGCUUACCAGUCACAUGCGCUUGAGUUGGUUCCUGAGCUUCUCUGAGUCUCUAUUUGCUCAUCUGUGAAAUGAGGAUAACACUGGCACCUACUGCAGGAGAUUAUCGGGAGCAUGAAAUAAAAUAACCCUUGUCAAGGCCUAUAAGAAGAACACAUGAGAAGUCCUCAAUGUGUGUUAGCUCUUAAUUUUUAAAGAAAUUUUGUAUUAUGGGAAAAUAUGCAUAACAUUAAAUUUAUGAUUUUAACCAUUUUUAAGUGUACAACUGAGUGACAUUAAGUACAUUCACAUUAUUGUGCAGCCGUCACCACUAUCCAUCCUCAAAACUUUUUCAUCGUCCCAAACUAUAGCUUUCGUUUUUAAAUUAUCAUUAUGGCCAUUUCAGAUAUGGCUUCCUGGGUCCACCCUUUGGAAGUGUGUGAUGGGGAUUCUUCCCAAAGAAGGGACAUCGUGGGUAGGCACUCCAAGAGCCUGCGGAAAGCAUCACAAUUUCAGUUCUUUAAGCCUUACGGAGCGCUUUCUCACCUAAUUUUAUGCAAUCCUCCUGGGGAAGGACUUCUUGAUAGGAAGAGGUUAUGAUCCUUAUUUUACAGGAAAGGAGCCUGAGGUCCAGGAAGUCUGACUGGCCCAACAUCUCCCAUCUUACUUGUAGAGUCAGGACUCAAGGCCAAGUCUUCUCACGCCAAGUUUGUGCCUUUUCCAUGACAUCUCGGUGAUGUAACUACUCAGCCAAGCUUCAUACCCAUUUGUUUAUAGUUCCUAAUAUGUACUCCGUUUCCGACUAUGAGAAGGGAGAGAAGAAUUCUCAAACUGGAAUGUGUGGGCGGCGCUAUCUGGCAUAUGAGAUCUGUAGUAAAAUGCGAGUGUUGCUCUCCACCUCCACCCACCCACUCACCAACCCCACUUCCUUCCCCAGAGGAAACCACUUUAACAGUAUCAUGAAUGUGCUUUCAGACACUUUUCUACCUGCUUAAAAGCUAUGUGCUUUUAAACUAGUUUAAUAUACAUAUUCCGCUAAUUUACUUGCUUUUUUCUGAUAAUAAUUUAGCAGAUUUUUUCAAGUUAGUGACUAUAGCUUUACAGCAUUUCUUUGAAUGACUAUAUUCAGUUUUGUAGGUGGAUAUAUCAUUGAUUCUUUAACCAUUCUUUUAUUGAUGAGCAUCCAAGUUGUUUCCAACUUUUUAUUACUAUAAACAAUUGUAUAGGGGCUGGCCCCGUGGCCGAGUGGUUAAGUUCGCGCGCUCCGCUGCAGGUGACCCAGUGUUUCGUCAGUUCGAAUCCUGGGCGCGGACAUGGCACUGCUCGUCAGACCACGCUGAGGCAGCGUCCCACAUGCCACAACUAGAGGAACCCACAACGAAGAAUACACAACUAUGUACCAGGGGGCUUUGGGGAGAAAAAGGAAAAAAUAAAAAAAUC
Molecule: long non-coding RNA, 2724 nt
Filed under: Equus caballus (horse)
Lineage: Eukaryota; Metazoa; Chordata; Mammalia; Perissodactyla; Equidae
Description: lncRNA (ENSECAG00000040390.3)
Source: RNAcentral